AGAGAUUUAGUAUAAGGCACAAGGCCAAAUUACAUACCAACAGAAACAAGGCCAAAAACACUAAAAGGAGACAAAAACUAAGGCCUAGCCCUAUAACGCAUACAAGAACAAAGGAUUAAAAUCCCCACAUCCUAUAACCCUAGCAUAACCAAGGUUGGAAGCAACUGUCUUCAAGCAUCGCUACUUGCUUCACUAUGUGGAAGAGAGAAUAGGGAUCCCAAUAUUGAAACAGCCUCCAUGCAUCAGGAAACCAAGCUUCCAAAGAAUAACAAGCAUCUCAACCAUAAAAGCAUAACACCUUUUCAGCAAUUUAUAAGGAGGGCAAAUGACAAAGCUCCUAUAGCAUGCAAGCCUUAAAGGUUAAUGACCUUUAGAGAAGUUGGCAAAGAUAACUUAGAGAUACCAUUCUCAAGCUAAAACUUCAAUGCUCUUUCUCAUAGGUAGGCCAAUCCAUAAACAAG
This 461-nucleotide unclassified non-coding RNA is filed under the name Hevea brasiliensis (rubber tree). Lineage: Eukaryota; Viridiplantae; Streptophyta; Magnoliopsida; Malpighiales; Euphorbiaceae. The record is from RNAcentral.